RNAcentral lists this ribosomal RNA (497 nucleotides) under uncultured bacterium. RNAcentral's name for it is "partial 16S ribosomal RNA". It matches the Rfam family "Bacterial small subunit ribosomal RNA", at positions 28 to 507 of the family's 1533-position model. The record is from RNAcentral.
GACGAACGCUGGCGGCGUGCCUAAUACAUGCAAGUAGAACGCUGAAGCUUGGUGCUUGCACCGAGCGGAUGAGUUGCGAACGGGUGAGUAACGCGUAGGUAACCUGCCUGGUAGCGGGGGAUAACUAUUGGAAACGAUAGCUAAUACCGCAUAAGAGUAGAUGUUGCAUGACAUUUGCUUAAAAGGUGCAAUUGCAUCACUACCAGAUGGACCUGCGUUGUAUUAGCUAGUUGGUGAGGUAACGGCUCACCAAGGCAACGAUACAUAGCCGACCUGAGAGGGUGAUCGGCCACACUGGGACUGAGACACGGCCCAGACUCCUACGGGAGGCAGCAGUAGGGAAUCUUCGGCAAUGGACGGAAGUCUGACCGAGCAACGCCGCGUGAGUGAAGAAGGGUUUCGGAUCGUAAAGCUCUGUUGUAAGAGAAGAACGAGUGUGAGAGUGGAAAGUUCACACUGUGACGGUAUCUGACCAGAAAGGGACGGCUAACUACGUG